CAGCCGCCGCGGUAAUACGAAGGGGGCUAGCGUUGCUCGGAAUGACUGGGCGUAAAGGGCGCGUAGGCGGCGAUCAAAGUCAGGCGUGAAAUUCCUGGGCUCAACCUGGGGGCUGCGUUUGAUACUUGAUUGCUAGAGUGGGGAAGAGGGUCGUGGAAUUCCCAGUGUAGAGGUGAAAUUCGUAGAUAUUGGGAAGAACACCGGUGGCGAAGGCGGCGACCUGGUCCUUGACUGACGCUGAGGCGCGAAAGCGUGGGGAGCAAACAGGAUUAGAUACCCGAGUAGUCCCUGUCUCUUAUAC
This 301-nucleotide ribosomal RNA is filed under the name uncultured bacterium. RNAcentral describes it as "partial 16S ribosomal RNA". It matches the Rfam family "Bacterial small subunit ribosomal RNA", at positions 509 to 807 of the family's 1533-position model. The record is from RNAcentral.